Molecule: ribosomal RNA, 190 nt
Filed under: uncultured bacterium
Lineage: Bacteria
Description: partial 16S ribosomal RNA
Rfam family: Bacterial small subunit ribosomal RNA
Source: RNAcentral
CUCGACUACAUGAAGCUGGAAUCGCUAGUAAUCGCGAAUCAGAAUGUCGCGGUGAAUACGUUCCCGGGUCUUGUACACACCGCCCGUCACACCAUGGGAGUCAGUAACGCCCGAAGCCGGUGACCCAACCAAACGGAGGGAGCCGUCGAAGGUGGGACCGAUAACUGGGGUGAAGUCGUAACAAGGUAGC